AGUGAACGCUGGCGGUAGGCCUAACACAUGCAAGUCGAACGGCAGCACAGUAAGAGCUUGCUCUUACGGGUGGCGAGUGGCGGACGGGUGAGGAAUACAUCGGAAUCUACUUUUUCGUGGGGGAUAACGUAGGGAAACUUACGCUAAUAGCGCAUACGACCUACGGGUGAAAGCAGGGGAUCUUCGGACCUUGCGCGAUUGAAUGAGCCGAUGUCGGAUUAGCUAGUUGGCGGGGUAAAGGCCCACCAAGGCGACGAUCCGUAGCUGGUCUGAGAGGAUGAUCAGCCACACUGGAACUGAGACACGGUCCAGACUCCUACGGGAGGCAGCAGUGGGGAAUCUUGCACAAUGGGCGCAAGCCUGAUCCAGCCAUACCGCGUGAGUGAAGAAGGCCUUCGGGUUGUAAAGCCCUUUUGUUGGGAAAGAAAAGCAGCAGGUUAAUCCCCCGCUGUUCUGACGGUACCCAAAGAAUAAGCACCGGCUAACUUCGUG
Molecule: ribosomal RNA, 492 nt
Filed under: uncultured bacterium
Lineage: Bacteria
Description: partial 16S ribosomal RNA
Rfam family: Bacterial small subunit ribosomal RNA
Source: RNAcentral